This is a ribosomal RNA of Pteropus vampyrus (large flying fox), 119 nucleotides long. NCBI's taxonomy places the organism in Eukaryota, Metazoa, Chordata, Mammalia, Chiroptera, Pteropodidae. The record is from Ensembl.
GUGUACAGCCAUGCCAUUCUGAAGAAGUCCGAUCCCGUCUGAUCUUGGAAGCUAAGCAGGGUCAGGUCUGGUUAGUACUUGCAUGGGAGACCACCUAGGAAGACCAAGUGCUGUAGGCG